This 867-nucleotide ribosomal RNA is filed under the name Phellinus rhabarbarinus. RNAcentral describes it as "eukaryotic LSU rRNA". It matches the Rfam family "Eukaryotic large subunit ribosomal RNA", at positions 66 to 915 of the family's 3401-position model. The record is from RNAcentral. Lineage: Eukaryota; Fungi; Basidiomycota; Agaricomycetes; Hymenochaetales; Hymenochaetaceae.
UAACAAGGAUUCCCCUAGUAACUGCGAGUGAAGUGGGAAAAGCUCAAAUUUAAAAUCUGGCGGUUUUGUCGCCCGAGUUGUAAUCUGGAGAAGCGUUUUCCGUGCCGGACCGUGUACAAGUUUCUUGGAACAGAGCGUCAUAGAGGGUGAGAAUCCCGUCCAUGACACGGACUCCCGGUGCUUUGUGAUACGCUCUCGAAGAGUCGAGUUGUUUGGGAAUGCAGCUCAAAAUGGGUGGUAAGCUCCAUCUAAAGCUAAAUAUUGGCGAGAGACCGAUAGCGAACAAGUACCGUGAGGGAAAGAUGAAAAGCACUUUGGAAAGAGAGUUAAACAGUACGUGAAAUUGUUGAAAGGGAAACGCUUGAAGUCAGUCGCGUCUUAUUUGACUCAGCCUUGCUUCGGCUUGGUGUAUUUCAAGUAGGAUGGGUCAACAUCGAUUUUGGCCGGUGGACAAGGGGUUAAGGAAUGUGGCACUCUUCGGAGUGUGUUAUAGCCUUUUCUCAUAUACAUCGGUUGGGAUUGAGGCCCGCAGCGCGCCCUUGUGGCCGGAGGUUCGCCUCACGUAACGCGCUUAGGAUGUUGGCAUAAUGGCUUUAAGCGACCCGUCUUGAAACACGGACCAAGGAGUCUAACAUGCUCGCGAGUGUUAGGGUGGAAAACCCUUGCGCGUAAUGAAAGUGAAAGUUGAGAACCUCCGCAAGGGGGUGCAUCGACGCCCGGCCCUGAAGUUUACUGACGGUGCUGCGGUAGAGCGCGUAUGUUGGGACCCGAAAGAUGGUGAACUAUGCCUGAAUAGGGCGAAGCCAGAGGAAACUCUGGUGGAGGCUCGUAGCGAUUCUGACGUGCAAAUCGAUCGUCAAAUUUGGG